GGCUCAAUGGUCUAGUAGCAUGAUACGUGCUUCGGGAGUUUCCCGCCACAGCAGUGUGGCUGAAGAUGUACGUGACCCGGGUUCAAUUCCCGGUUGAGCCC
Molecule: transfer RNA, 101 nt
Filed under: Hydnomerulius pinastri MD-312
Lineage: Eukaryota; Fungi; Basidiomycota; Agaricomycetes; Boletales
Rfam family: tRNA
About the family: Transfer RNA (tRNA) molecules are approximately 80 nucleotides in length.
Source: Rfam by way of RNAcentral